UAAUAGGCGUGUUUCUAGUGUGGGAAAGCAAGCUGGGUGUAGAAGUGAUCUGUCCCGUCCCUGGCAUCACCUGAUCAGACUUUUAGGAGAACUGAGUGUAUAAGAAUCAAGCAAGAGGAGACACACUUAAUAGGCGUGUUUCUAGUGUGGG
This is a long non-coding RNA of Eriocheir sinensis (Chinese mitten crab), 151 nucleotides long. RefSeq lists it as uncharacterized. The transcript has 2 exons. The record is from RefSeq and is a predicted model, not a curated record. NCBI's taxonomy places the organism in Eukaryota, Metazoa, Arthropoda, Malacostraca, Decapoda, Varunidae.